AUUUGAAACCGGGGUAAAGGAUAUUACUAUGUGAAGAAUAUAAUUUUAAUGAAAACGCAACCACAAUAAAACGCCUUACGUUUUGUAUUGUUUCAACUAAAAGAGCCCCCUGUCUCGGAAAUGAAGUAAGCAGUUUUGGGGCUCAGGUCGUGUAGAACACAUCCACACGUCUGCUCAACGCGAACCUAGUGCUGUUGCUCGCUAGGGUACGCCUUUCUUUUCAACGUGCCUGCCCAACAGGAUUGCAAGCCUGAACUUAAAUGCGCCGGGAAGAACUUCCCGGCAAUCGACAGCAGAGGCAGCAGAGAAACUGUGAAAAGGAGGGUUAAAAGAGCGAAUCGAAAGCGGAUGUUAUGUGCGUGGUGCUCGCCCGCCGCGGAGCAGAAUCCCGGUUCUUCAACAGCAGAGAUGGGCAGCCGAGGGCAGGACACACCGGGCUGGGUGGACGGUGCCUUCAGUGAUACAAGAGAUCCAGGGAAUGAAAGUACCUAGCAUCUACCUGCAAGUGCAUGGAAAGCCUGAAGCCAACACCAGCCUGCAGUUCAACAUCGAAUGGAGUCGCGAGAUCGAGCUCCAGAACAAGAGCAAGAUCAAGUUCCCUUGCACUGGCCCGUACCUGGUGUACGUGGCUUUAAAACCACAGGUCGGUUCGGACACCAGCCUCAUCCUGCGAGGGCGGGACAACCCACUGUACUUCCCUGUGACCGGCAAGAGCAACCAGUCAAUCCACUACUUCAAAAAGGGCGACGCCAUCACUGUGGACCUGACGACUACUGACACCAAUCUUAGGCUGGAUGAGCUGUCCCUGGGGUUCCAGUACUUGGUAGGGAAUGUGAGGCAAUGCAUAGAGGAUGAGGUGUAACUAGCUCAAAAGAACUCCUAAAACCAGAGUGCUGAAUAUUUAUUAACAUUCUUGUUAUUUUUAUUAUUAUUGUAAUGUAUAAAAAGUAAUAUUUUGGAAACAUGUUUUACUUUUUAAGACUGUAAAUAGUAAUUAUUCUAAACAUAUUUAUUUAUUGUUAUGUGCACUGAAAUGUGGAGUGAUCAAAUUUUGUUUUUUGCACGAAUCACAGAACGGAACUGUAAGCAAGCUGUCUGGGGAAAACAGACAAAAGCACACACAAAGCACCACACAGGGACAACCCAACCUUGCUGUGAUUUGCAACUCAAGUCAAUAAUGUUUUGUUAUUUGUUAAAAUAUAAUUUUGCAUCAGUCCACCUUUCAUUUUUAUUUUGAAUGCUGCAGAGUUAACUGAACUGCAACCUGCGACCUUGAUUGAACGCACUUUAGUCUCAGUGAAACAGGGUCACUAUGGGGGGUUUGUGUGGUUCUCUGCAAUGCAUCUCUGUAUCCCAGCUAGCAGUGCUGGAUUUGACAGUGUUUCGAACAUGGCACUGAAUGCCAGUUCCCAAUAUGCCUUAAUAGUGCUGUACUGGAGUGCAAUGGUCCAUAGUGUGGUAAGAUAGCUUACAUCACAACCUUCUUUUUACCUCCUCUCCAUAUCACUAAUGACACCUCAGCAGCAAGUCUAAAGUCAGUUCUGUUUUGAAUAUGGAAGUUACACUUUUCAACAAUCUGCAAGGUUAUGUUAAAAAAAGGAAUGUGAUAUCAUUCAUCUUUCCAUUUUUUUAAUGCACAGUCAAUAUUACAGUGAAUAUUGGGACAAUAUACAGAAUCUCAAUAUUCAAUCUCAAUAUUAUCAGUUUUUAUGCAAUCUGACAGUGAUUAAGGGCGUUAUUAGUGUGAUCAUAUCAAUUCAUGUUCAACAAGACACUUUGAGACAGAAGAGGAUUUUAAAACUAUCCUUCAGUUGAAAGAUUUUAAUUUGCUAAACCAGCAUUUAAUCAGCAAUACUGAACAGCUGUUCACUGCCAGGGAUCAAGCCCAGAACAAUGUUUUGGAUUUUUCAUGUCUGGUCUGUUUUUAUAUACUGUACUAGAAAAUUGAUCAGUCUGACAUGUUCACUGCACACUGGAAUUAACCACCCAUUUUCAUUUUGGGAAGGGCGUGAUGCAGUUUUCAUAUGAACAUAUUUCAGUAUAAGGGCAAUAUUAAGAUCCCAUACUUUCCCAAAGUGUCCCAGUCAACAUGGAGUCAUAAGGUUACCGUCAGGAUGAGCAGCUGUCCUGUACUCUCACCCUCGGCAGUGAGAUGUUCAUAGCUGAUGUGUUACAAUGCCCUGCUGUGCUAUACUGUGCUGUGCUCUCCAUACUGCAAACUGGACCAGAAGGGGCCUCUUCUCCACAGGUUUCCACUCCAGCCUGUCUGUCAUUGGCCUUCUUGUUGCAAGCUGCAUUGGGGCACGAUGGAGAGGAGCUGAGCAGCUCACGAAAUGCUCCAAUGCUCUUUGCUUCUUAAUAUUGUAAACCUAGCAGGCCUAAUAUUUAUGGUUACAUAUGUGACGUGCUCUUCUAAAAGUCUGACAUUAAAUUUCAGGAUACAUCUUUAGCAUUCUGACCAUCUAGUUCCUGCAAAAAUAUAGACAGUAUAAACCAAUAUCCUGCAGGCUUCUAACACUUACUGUACAGCUUAGCGUGGAAACCUAGAUUUGAACAGCCUAGGGUUAGAUUGCCAAUUGCACUUAAGAAAUACAGGACAGUGCUGUUUCAGCAGCGCAAUAGAGCUCAUACUCCUGCAGUGCUGCUGCUCUACCCAGAGGAGGCUCUUUCCUGUGCAGGAGGUGAGAGGGGAGGCAGUUUACAGUCAGGUGAUGAAUGCAGGCGUCACACCCCAGGGUAGUGUUUGUGCAGGCAGCAGUACAGGCUUCACCACCUAUGUGCCUUGGAAUCAAAAGACAUUAGGUUUAUUUUUUUAAAAACUUUUUAUUUAAAGACGUUAUGUUUACAAAGAAUGGAUCAGGAGCUUUGUGUAGCUCUUUCCUGCAUUGAACCAAAUAUUAAACAGUUCUUCAGAUCUUCCUUGAAACAAUCUCACAUUUCACAUUGUACCUCUAGUCGACAAAAGUGAAGUUAAAUAUUUCUCAUUUAAAUUGUAGUCUAUGUUUCAGUUCAAAUUAAAUGUGAUUUCUUGUAAUAGUUAUGCAGAUUGUUUCAAAAUCAUUUGGUGUGCCAUUAGAUGAAACAUCUGGGAAGCACUGGGCUGGAUAACAGGAUCUUUAGUUGCAAACGCACUUUAGUUUCAGGGGAAUGGCAAACAUCUAAAAAUCCAAUAGCGGAAAGUUCAGAUUUCUCUGUUAGCAAAAUGGAAAGACUUACAGACUGGAGAAGAUGGAGUGAAGAAGCAGGCCUCUCCUGUUUUAUAAAUUCAGACAAUGUCUGUGCAAUCUGUUCUAAUCUGCAAUGUAGGUAGGCAGAGAACUCAGACAAUUCUGUGAAAUGUUUACUGAUGAUGACUGUGUUACUUUUCUCUUCAAAUACUCCAUAUGUAUAUGUGGAAAUAAGUAUGCUGUUAAA
Long non-coding RNA from Lepisosteus oculatus (spotted gar), 3414 nucleotides. The record is from Ensembl. NCBI's taxonomy places the organism in Eukaryota, Metazoa, Chordata, Actinopteri, Semionotiformes, Lepisosteidae.